UUUAAGCACAUUAUCGAUUGUGUGCAGC
This 28-nucleotide small RNA is filed under the name Bombyx mori (domestic silkworm). Its description in RNAcentral is "ovarian small RNA-38220". Lineage: Eukaryota; Metazoa; Arthropoda; Insecta; Lepidoptera; Bombycidae. The record is from RNAcentral.